UGGUAAUUGGUACGCCUCAGAGACCGGCA
Molecule: non-coding RNA, 29 nt
Filed under: Homo sapiens (human)
Lineage: Eukaryota; Metazoa; Chordata; Mammalia; Primates; Hominidae
Source: RNAcentral